RNAcentral lists this ribosomal RNA (376 nucleotides) under uncultured bacterium. Its description in RNAcentral is "bacterial SSU rRNA". It matches the Rfam family "Bacterial small subunit ribosomal RNA", at positions 521 to 896 of the family's 1533-position model. The record is from RNAcentral.
UAAAACGUAGGGUGCGAGCGUUGUCCGGAUUUAUUGGGCGUAAAGCGUUUCGUAGGCUUUUUGGUAAGUUGCAUUUCAAAGCCUGGGGCUCAACCUCAGAAAGGGGUGCAAUACUGCCAGAAUUGGAGAACUUCGGGGCUACUGGAACUGUCGGUGUAGGGGUGAAAUCCGUUGAUAUCGACAAGAACACCAAGGGCGAAGGCAGGUAGCUAGGAGUUAUUCGACGCUGAGGAACGAAAGCUAGGGGAGCGAAGCGGAUUAGAGACCCGCGUAGUCCUAGCCGUAAACGAUGCUCGCUAGGGAUUUGAACUUUUAGUUUGAGUCCCGCAAGCUAACGCGUGAAGCGAGCCGCCUGGGGAGUACGGCCGCAAGGCUA